UUAUGAGUCUUGUUUCCAUCUUGUAACAGGCAACUGCAUCUCAGAAGGGGUGUCCUUUCUGAAUAAGACCCAGGGAGAUGAUGUUCUGUUACAGUUACACCCAAAAGUAGGAAAUGAGGCCCAGAGGAUUAGAUUGUAUUUGGAAUCUAAGAAUCUGCUCCUACUCACCAUCUAUCCAGGGGAGAGCAAUUCAAGCUGGAUCAUUCCCCAGAAGGAGUAUGAGGGGCGUCUGUCUGCCCCUGAUGAUAAGUCUCCGAUGUUAAUGAAUGCAAACUCUAAAGACAGUGGAUGUUAUGAAAUUCACAUAUCUUCAGUCUCUGGAGACAUACAUAUUCAGAAAUUCAAUUUAACUGUCUUUGGGCCUUGCCAGCUACAACCACACAAGAAAAUGGAGUGAUGCUGCAGAGUCUGCACACCACAGGAGAGCAGCUGAGAGUAGCCCCGGUAGCAGCAGCCCAACAUGGACCAAAGACAUUUCCCCUGCACUGUUGCAAGCCUGAGCACAGAUGUCCUCUACAUAUGUGCUUCUCCAUAACUGUCCACAUGUCCCAUUGAUGGCAUAUAAUGGUGGCAAACUCUGCCUCAGGUUUCUAGGGGAAGUGUCCUUACUUCUCUCCUUCCUGACCUCUUGGAUGGUAUUCUGCCCAUUAUCCUCAUUCCCCUCUCUCCUACCAGAACUCUAUCCUCUCAAUGCUGAUCCCUGAUGAGUGAGCUUUCCCUUUUUCUUGUCCAGAAACAGGGCUCUAGGCCAUUUCUGACCAGCUCUACAUUAGGCCACAGAGCACUUCCUCUACCCCAUUCCAAUUCUUCUUCAUGUAUUAUCUUCUGCCAUUCACAUCUAAGUUCCCUAAGGACAGCGUGAAUGCCAAGAUAGACCAAGGUAUCCCAAAGACCUCAGUUCAAAUUCUGCCUUAGCACUUUAUAGCUGUGUGACCCUGGGCAAGUCACUUAGCCUCAGUUUCCUCAUCUGUAAAAUGGGAUUAAUAAUAGCACCUACCUCCUAGAGUUGGAGAAAAUGAGAUAAUAUUUGUUUAUUUUUAUAAAUAAUAUUUUCCCUUCAAUGACAUGUAAAAACAAAUUUUUAGCAUUUGGUUUUUCAAAUUUUGAGUUCUAAAUUCUAUCCUUUCCUCCCUCCUCUCCCCCUCCCUGAGACAGUAAGCAAUCUGAUAUAGGUUAUACAUGUGUAUUCAAGUAAAAUAUAUUUCCACAUUGGUCAUUUUGUGGAAGAAAACUCAAACAAAAAAAUGAGGGAGAGAAAGUGGAAAAAUAGUAUGCUUUGGUCUGUAUUCAGACACCAACAGUUCUUUCUCUGGAGGCAGCUAGCAUUUUUCAUCCUGAGUCCUUUGGGAUUAUUUUGGAUCAUUGUGAAUAUGAGAUAAUACUUGUAAAGCACUUUG
Molecule: long non-coding RNA, 1397 nt
Filed under: Vombatus ursinus (common wombat)
Lineage: Eukaryota; Metazoa; Chordata; Mammalia; Diprotodontia; Vombatidae
Description: lncRNA (ENSVURG00010013795.1)
Source: RNAcentral